This 1310-nucleotide long non-coding RNA is filed under the name Lathyrus oleraceus (garden pea). RNAcentral's name for it is "Pisum sativum (pea) long non-coding RNA (PSAT_LNC020177)". Lineage: Eukaryota; Viridiplantae; Streptophyta; Magnoliopsida; Fabales; Fabaceae. The record is from RNAcentral.
ACAGUACUGAAUGGAUCUCCUCUUGCAAGCUUAAGUUUAUUUUUGAAAGUGGUAUUUGAGAAGAGUGAACUUAUUAGCUCAUUAUGCAUUCCUGUUCUUCGGAUAACUUGCAGGAAAGGCCCCCAUUAGGUUGAAGCAAUUUCGUCUGCUAUUUGGAUGAGUCAGAGGUAUCUAUUUAAAAACUGCACAACCUAAACGUUCCUGUACUUUCAGAAUCCAUGUACCUUUGUAGCAUGAAUUUGUGUUGUUGCUUGGUACUUUUGAGUUUGAUCUGGUAUACGACUUACCGCAGAUUUUGAUGUUACCACUGAUGUGUUGUAGAGUACUGAUUAUCUCAUUCCUAUUGGUAAGCCUGUGGUACUAUCUGGCGGCAAUCCUCCAAGAAGAUUGACAAAUGCUGCAGGUAUCAUCGCCUACAGAGUUUAAACCAUGUAUUUGAUUGUUUUGUAUGAUGAUGUUACCGGUGUAUUCAAUCCGUGUUGGUAACCUGCUGCAGGUUUUGGUUGCAUUUACCCUGAACAUUGUUUAGAUGGCAUGUUCAUGUUUUAAUUUUAUGUUAUGCAUUUCUAGAUUAUGCUGCAGUAGAAAGCAAUUUAGCCGACGACUGUCGUGGGCCCUGCCCUUGAUUAAUAAUCCAACUCAAUUGCAGCUAAAUUUCCAACAGAUGUGCCCUCCACAAUGCUCACUUGACUAGCUGGAUUGGGCAUGGGGGAACCAAAUGGUGGUUCUGAUGAUUUCCACUCAGAAAACGCGGUAUGAGCAAUUGCUAACACACUAAUUAAAUCCAUAGAUCCUUGAGAUAUUGAGGUGCUUGUACUAACUUGAGAAGCACUAUUUCCAGGACCUUGAUCAAUUUUAAGUGAAUCAGGUUAAGAUGCAUUUAAUAACUCAAAAUGCACCUGCAGUUGGUGAUGGUUGGGAGCAACGGCAGCAGGCUGUGCUGGUGUAGCUAUAUGACCUGAAAUAUACGGGGAAACCGGUGGCUUGGGUGGUUCGCUUGGAUCUAUACCAGAUCCAAAACAUAAAGCUUGCCCCUGCAUCAUUUGUGUGUUUUGAUUAACUUUCUCAACAGGUUGGCUUCCUGAAGCAGUUGCCUUUCCUUUGCCAAUCGGAUUGCAUAUGCCUGUUGUGAAUUUGAGGCAUGGUUUUGUAUAUGAUGUACUGAUGCUUAGGUCAUGUACUUUGGUCAUUGUAUUGUGUAUGUCAGCAUGUGAGUUGGUUUUUGGUUGUAAUGAGAAUGGACAAGGUUUAUGUGUUUUGGUUAUAAUAAUUUAUGUAAUGACAGUUUGGCUUUUGAAAUGAACAUGGUU